Molecule: ribosomal RNA, 119 nt
Organism: Chlorocebus sabaeus (green monkey)
Lineage: Eukaryota; Metazoa; Chordata; Mammalia; Primates; Cercopithecidae
Source: Ensembl
AUCUACAUCCUUACCACCCUGAAUCCACCCAAUCUUGUUUGAUUUCCAAAGCUAAAAAGGGUCAAUCCCAGAUAGUAUUUGGAUGAGAGCCAGCCUGGGAAUACUGGGUGCUGUAGGUU